RNAcentral lists this long non-coding RNA (991 nucleotides) under Homo sapiens (human). Its description in RNAcentral is "non-protein coding lnc-AMZ2-5:6". Lineage: Eukaryota; Metazoa; Chordata; Mammalia; Primates; Hominidae. The record is from RNAcentral.
GAAAGAGGCGCAUUGUUAAAAAUGGAGAUUGCAUUGUUGCAGUUUGCAGGCUACACUCGCUCGCUCUCUCUCUCCCCCCCAACCUCCUCUUUUUCCUCUUCAAAAUUUGUGCCAGUGCAGUGUCUCCACCGGGCAGGAUUGAAACUUUGGCAAACACGUAUCCAUUGCAUUCAUUUCUUUCCCCUUGUUUUGGUCUGGUUUUCUGGAAUGAAAGAAGCCUCUUGUUUUACAAACCUCUUUGCAUUUCUAAUGUGGUUUCUUUCAGAUUUUUAUUAGAUAUGUUACUUAAAAGGGAAUUAAGGGUUUGGACAGAUUGUGGCACACAAACACACACAAAAACAUGUCUGUUUUCACAUCCCUAGCUGUGGUUUUAAAAUUGUGUUAAGGAAAUGGAUCAUUUGGGUUAGUAGGGGAAUUUUAUCUGGUCCUGUAUGUUUGCUUUUAUUCUUCGAGUGCUAAUGGGCCUGUGCAACAGUUGCUGGUAAAUGGCUGAUUAAAAAGCAAAGCAGAAAGCCAAACAAGACCCACCCAACUUUGGUUAUUCAUUCGAUUCAAAAUUGUUUUUGGUUAAAUCAAAAAUGAAAGUACAAAACCGCAGGAACGCGCAUCUUAGCUCAUUUGAUCGCUUUGCCUUGCUUGGGAAAUGCAGUUUCGUGUCACCUGUUGCAGAAGAUAUGUAGUUGAUCAUCUAGACAUAAUUGCUGAAGAUAAACUUUUGGACCAACUUCUAAGUCACACAGCAUCAUUAUCAGAUUUAUUACACAACGACUUUUUUGUUUUCACUCUAUUUCUGAGGAAAAAGCCUUCCCGAAAUCCGUAAUGAAUUUCUCCAUGGUAACCCCUCUUCUGUUUUCACACAGAAAAGUUUCUCUAGACUGUUGCUAAGAUGCAUUUUGUUAAAUACCCCCCCCCCACAAAGGCUGCUUUGUAUUAAAUACGUAGUUGGAAUUUACUAAAUUGUGAAAUUAACGUAACCGAAGCAACAACCGGC